UACGGAGGCAGCAAACGUUGCUCGGAAUCAUUGGGCGUAAAGCGCACGUAGGCGGCACGUUAAGCCGGAUGUGAAAGCCCAAGGCUCAACCUUGGAAGUGCAUACGAAACUGGCGAGCUUGAAUAUGGACGAGGGUCGCGGAAUUCCCGGUGUAGAGGUGGAAUUCGUAGAUAUCGGGAGGAACUCCAGUGGCGAAGGCGGUGACCUGGGCCAAUAGUGAUGCUAAGGUGAGAAAGCGUGGGGAGCAAACAGG
RNAcentral lists this ribosomal RNA (253 nucleotides) under uncultured bacterium. RNAcentral's name for it is "partial 16S ribosomal RNA". It matches the Rfam family "Bacterial small subunit ribosomal RNA", at positions 524 to 776 of the family's 1533-position model. The record is from RNAcentral.